CCUACGGGAGGCAGCAGUGGGGAAUAUUGCACAAUGGGGGAAACCCUGAUGCAGCGACGCCGCGUGAGCGAUGAAGGAUUUCGGUAUGUAAAGCUCUAGCAGCAGGGAAGAAAAUGACGGUAACUGACUCAGAAGCCCCGGCUAACUACGUGCCAGCAGCCGCGGGACUACGUAGGGGGCAAGCGUUAUCCGGAUUUACUGGGGGUAAAGGGAGCGUAGACGGCUUGGCAAGCCAGAUGUGAAAGGCGGGGGCUCAACCCCAGGACUGCAUUUGGAACUGUCAUGCUAGAGUGUCGGAGAGGCAGGCGGAAUUCCUGGUGUAGCGGUGAAAUGCGUAGAUAUUAGGAGGAACACCAGUGGCGAAGGCGGGCUGCUGGACGAUGACUGACGUUGAGGCUCGAAAGCGUGGGGAGCAAACAGGAUUAGAUACCCCGGUAGUC
This 440-nucleotide ribosomal RNA is filed under the name uncultured bacterium. Its description in RNAcentral is "partial 16S ribosomal RNA". It matches the Rfam family "Bacterial small subunit ribosomal RNA", at positions 338 to 795 of the family's 1533-position model. The record is from RNAcentral.